AACGAACGCUGGCGGCGUGCCUAACACAUGCAAGUCGUGCGAGAAAGUUCCUUCGGGAGCGAGUAAAGCGGCGCACGGGUGAGUAACACGUAGGUAACCUGCCCCCCAGUCUGGAACAACUAGAGGAAACUCUAGCUAAUGCCGGAUGAGACCACGAUCCCUUCGGGGGUUGCGGCCAAAGAUGGCCUCUACUUGUAAGCUAUCGCUGAGGGAUGGGCCUGCGGGCCAUUAGCUUGUUGGUGAGGUAACGGCUCACCAAGGCUGUGAUGGCUAGCUGGUCUGAGAGGAUGACCAGCCACACUGGGACUGAGACACGGCCCAGACUCCUACGGGAGGCAGCAGUGGGGAAUAUUGCGCAAUGGGCGAAAGCCUGACGCAGCGA
RNAcentral lists this ribosomal RNA (382 nucleotides) under uncultured bacterium. Its description in RNAcentral is "bacterial SSU rRNA". It matches the Rfam family "Bacterial small subunit ribosomal RNA", at positions 29 to 394 of the family's 1533-position model. The record is from RNAcentral.